AUUGAACGCUGGCGGCAUGCCUUACACAUGCAAGUCGAACGGCAGCACGGGAGCAAUCCUGGUGGCGAGUGGCGAACGGGUGAGUAAUGUAUCGGAACGUACCUUUCAGUGGGGGAUAACGUAGCGAAAGUUAUGCUAAUACCGCAUAUUCUGUGAGCAGGAAAGCAGGGGAUCGCAAGACCUUGCGCUGAUUGAGCGGCCGAUAUCAGAUUAGCUAGUUGGUGAGGUAAAGGCUCACCAAGGCGACGAUCUGUAGCGGGUCUGAGAGGAUGAUCCGCCACACUGGAACUGAGACACGGUCCAGACUCCUACGGGAGGCAGCAGUGGGGAAUUUUGGACAAUGGGCGCAAGCCUGAUCCAGCCAUGCCGCGUGAGUGAAGAAGGCCUCGGUUG
Molecule: ribosomal RNA, 393 nt
Filed under: uncultured bacterium
Lineage: Bacteria
Description: bacterial SSU rRNA
Rfam family: Bacterial small subunit ribosomal RNA
Source: RNAcentral